GCAAGAUUGGGGACUCCAAGACCAAGACCUCUCAAGUUCCAGGAAAUUUACAACACUUGGCCAUGGUCCAGGGAGGUGUCAAGCCCAUAGUGCCCCUACCUUUAGGUGAUCACAGGCCACUUCUUCAUCCUCCAAGACGUGAAAGGAGGCAGCUGCCACCAGGAGCACAGUUCUGCCCUCAGUGUCCUAUGCUGCAGAAAGAAGUUGACAACCUUAAAGAACAACUUGUGGACAUGCAGUGUCUCCUUGACAAGUGCCAGAUCCUUUGAAGUUCAACACAGCAUCCCCAUACACAGAAAGAGCUGGUACCUUUUGAGUCAAGGAGCUGUGGCCACACUGGUUCCCCCGACCUGCCUGCAUCUCUUCGGAAAGCCCUGCCCUGCCGCCCUGCCGCCCUGCCGCCCUGCCUCCCUGCCAGGGCUUCCUCUCUUUCCUGAGGUUUAGCGUGGCUUUUGUCACUCAGUUCAUUGCAGUUUGCAA
Lemur catta (Ring-tailed lemur) is the source of this 480-nucleotide long non-coding RNA. RefSeq lists it as uncharacterized. The transcript has 5 exons. The record is from RefSeq and is a predicted model, not a curated record. NCBI's taxonomy places the organism in Eukaryota, Metazoa, Chordata, Mammalia, Primates, Lemuridae.